GAUGAACGCUAGCUACAGGCUUAACACAUGCAAGUCGAGGGGCAGCAUGAACUUAGCUUGCUAAGUUUGAUGGCGACCGGCGCACGGGUGAGUAACACGUAUCCAACCUUCCGUUUACUCAGGGAUAGCCUUUCGAAAGAAAGAUUAAUACCUGAUAGUAUGGUGAGAUUGCAUGAUAACACCAUUAAAGAUUAUUGGUAACGAUGGGGAUGCGUUCCAUUAGGUAGUAGCGGGUAACGGCCACCUAGCCUGCGAUGGAUAGGGGUUCUGAGAGGAAGGUCCCCACAUUGGAACUGAGACACGG
Molecule: ribosomal RNA, 304 nt
Filed under: uncultured bacterium
Lineage: Bacteria
Description: bacterial SSU rRNA
Rfam family: Bacterial small subunit ribosomal RNA
Source: RNAcentral